CACUAGGGCUGGAAUACGCUGACCUGUGACCACUCUGUUCUGUGCAGUCUAAGGUGGUGGAGAAAAAGAAAUCUGCCUUCAAAAUCUGGAAAAGCCAGUGUGAGAGCGCAACAGUAAACUUCCAGUCAUUCUGACUUCACUGCAUGAAAAAUAUCAAUGAUGUCAUUACUGUGGUAAGGACAGGUAGCAACCUGGCUGCUUAAGUGGACAAAACUGCACAACUAAAUGAAAAGGCAGAAUUGUUCUUUGACAUUUCUGGCCACUAAUUGAGAAGGAAGAUGAGCAGAUGGAGUUUUGUGCAACUGCCACAAGCCAGAACCUCUGGUAUAAAUGAUUUCACUCUGCUGGGAUAUAGAAGCUAUAUCUUCAUUAAUGAU
Molecule: long non-coding RNA, 377 nt
Organism: Cyanistes caeruleus (blue tit)
Lineage: Eukaryota; Metazoa; Chordata; Aves; Passeriformes; Paridae
Source: RefSeq, a predicted model, not a curated record